Molecule: ribosomal RNA, 497 nt
Filed under: uncultured bacterium
Lineage: Bacteria
Description: partial 16S ribosomal RNA
Rfam family: Bacterial small subunit ribosomal RNA
Source: RNAcentral
GAUGAACGCUGGCGGCGUGCCUAAUACAUGCAAGUCGAGCGAACAGAUGUGGAGCUUGCUCCUCUGACGUUAGCGGCGGACGGGUGAGUAACACGUGGAUAACCUACCUAUAAGACUGGGAUAACUUCGGGAAACCGGAGCUAAUACCGGAUAAUAUCUUUAACCGCAUGGUUCAAUAUUGAAAGACGGUUUUGCUUUCACUUAUAGAUGGAUCCGCGCCGCAUUAGCUAGUUGGUAAGGUAACGGCUUACCAAGGCAACGAUGCGUAGCCGACCUAAGAGGGGGAUCGGCCACACUGGAACUGAGACACGGUCAAGACUCCUACGGGAGGCAGCAGAAGGGAAUCUUCCGCAAAGGGCGAAAGCCUGACGGAGCAAAGCCGCGUGAGUGAUGAAGGUCUUCGGAUCGUAAAACUCUGUUAUUAGGGAAGAACAAAUGUGGAAGUAACUAUGCACGUAUUGACGGUACCUAAUCAGAAAGCCACGGCUAACUACGUG